AGCGAACGCUGGCGGCAGGCUUAACACAUGCAAGUCGAGCGGGCAUAGCAAUAUGUCAGCGGCAGACGGGUGAGUAACGCGUGGGAACGUACCUUUUGGUUCGGAACAACACAGGGAAACUUGUGCUAAUACCGGAUAAGCCCUUACGGGGAAAGAUUUAUCGCCGAAAGAUCGACCCGCGUCUGAUUAGCUAGUUGGUGAGGUAAUGGCUCACCAAGGCGACGAUCAGUAGCUGGUCUGAGAGGAUGAUCAGCCACAUUGGGACUGAGACACGGCCCAAACUCCUACGGGAGGCAGCAGUGGGGAAUAUUGGACAAUGGGCGCAAGCCUGAUCCAGCCAUGCCGCGUGAGUGAUGAAGGCCCUAGGGUUGUAAAGCUCUUUUGUGCGGGAAGAUAAUGACGGUACCGCAAGGAUAAGCCCCGGCUAACUUCGUGCCAGCAGCCGCAGUAA
RNAcentral lists this ribosomal RNA (451 nucleotides) under uncultured bacterium. Its description in RNAcentral is "partial 16S ribosomal RNA". It matches the Rfam family "Bacterial small subunit ribosomal RNA", at positions 29 to 523 of the family's 1533-position model. The record is from RNAcentral.